GCAGCCACUCAUUCAAAGAGUGCGUUAUAGCACACUGGUCGAGUGAUCCUGCGCCGAAGAUUUCCGGGGCUAAAACUUACUACCGAAGCUACGGCAUCAGUAAUGAUGGGUAGGGGAGCUUCCCAUACGGGUUGAAGCAUGACCGUAAGGACAUGUGGACAGUAUGGGAGUGAGAAUGUUGGCAUGAGUAGCGAGAUGUGGGUGAGAAUCCCACAGGCCGUAAACCCAAGGUUUCCAGGGGAAGGUUCGUCCGCCCUGGGUUAGUCGGGACCUAAGCUGAGGCCGAAAGGCGUAGGGGAUGGACAACAGGUUGAUAUUCCUGUACUACCGAUAACCGUUUGAGAGAUGGGAUGACACAGUAGGAUAAGCUAAGCACACUGUUGGUUAUGUGUGCCCAAGCAUUGAGGCAGUCAAAGUAGGUAAAUCCGCUUUGAUAAUGCUGGGAUGUGAUGGGGAGCGAAAUUUAGUAGCGAAGUAGCUGAUUUCACACUGUCAAGAAAAGUCUCUAUCGAGGUUAAAGGUACCCGUACCGCAAACCGACACAGGUGGGUGAGGAGAGUAUCCUAAGGCCAGCGAGAGAACUGUUGUUAAGGAACUCGGCAAAAUGACCCCGUAACUUAGGGAUAAGGGGUGCCACCAUCAGGUGGCCGCAGAGAAUAGGCCCAAGCGACUGUUUACCAAAAACAUAGGUUUCUGCUAAGUCGCAAGACGAUGUAUAGGAGCUGACGCCUGCCCGGUGCUGGAAGGUUAAGGGGAUCUGUUAGAGCAAUCGAAGCAGUGAACUUAAGCC
RNAcentral lists this ribosomal RNA (790 nucleotides) under Clostridioides difficile. Its description in RNAcentral is "bacterial LSU rRNA". It matches the Rfam family "Bacterial large subunit ribosomal RNA", at positions 1112 to 1919 of the family's 2925-position model. The record is from RNAcentral. Lineage: Bacteria; Bacillati; Bacillota; Clostridia; Peptostreptococcales; Peptostreptococcaceae.